Acanthosepion pharaonis is the source of this 113-nucleotide non-coding RNA. The record is from the annotation of a GenBank genome assembly. NCBI's taxonomy places the organism in Eukaryota, Metazoa, Mollusca, Cephalopoda, Sepiida, Sepiidae.
UACGGCCAUAUUAUGUUGAAACACCAGUUCCCUUAUGAUCACCAAAAUUAAGCAAUAUUGAGUAUGGUCACUACUUAGAUGGGUAACUGCUUGAGAAUGCCAGGUGCUGUAAG